Molecule: ribosomal RNA, 924 nt
Filed under: uncultured bacterium
Lineage: Bacteria
Also listed under: 1 other name
Description: bacterial SSU rRNA
Rfam family: Bacterial small subunit ribosomal RNA
Source: RNAcentral
GGAUCCAGACUUUGAUCAUGGCUCAGGAUGAACGCUAGCUACAGGCUUAACACAUGCAAGUCGAGGGGAAACGACAUCGAAAGCUUGCUUUUGAUGGGCGUCGACCGGCGCACGGGUGAGUAACGCGUAUCCAACCUGCCCACCACUUGGGGAUAACCUUGCGAAAGUAAGACUAAUACCCAAUGACGUCUCUAGAAGACAUCUGAAAGAGAUUAAAGAUUUAUCGGUGAUGGAUGGGGAUGCGUCUGAUUAGCUUGUUGGCGGGGUAACGGCCCACCAAGGCGACGAUCAGUAGGGGUUCUGAGAGGAAGGUCCCCCACGUUGGAACUGAGACACGGUCCAAACUCCUACGGGAGGCAGCAGUGAGGAAUAUUGGUCAAUGGACGAGAGUCUGAACCAGCCAAGUAGCGUGCAGGAUGACGGCCCUAUGGGUUGUAAACUGCUUUUAUAAGGGAAUAAAGUGAGUCUCGUGAGACUUUUUGCAUGUACCUUAUGAAUAAGGACCGGCUAAUUCCGUGCCAGCAGCCGCGGUAAUACGGAAGGUCCGGGCGUUAUCCGGAUUUAUUGGGUUUAAAGGGAGCGUAGGCCGGAGAUUAAGCGUGUUGUGAAAUGUAGACGCUCAACGUCUGCACUGCAGCGCGAACUGGUUUCCUUGAGUACGCACAAAGUGGGCGGAAUUCGUGGUGUAGCGGUGAAAUGCUUAGAUAUCACGAAGAACUCCGAUUGCGAAGGCAGCUCACUGGAGCGCAACUGACGCUGAAGCUCGAAAGUGCGGGUAUCGAACAGGAUUAGAUACCCUGGUAGUCCGCACGGUAAACGAUGGAUGCCCGCUGUUGGUCUGAAUAGGUCAGCGGCCAAGCGAAAGCAUUAAGCAUCCCACCUGGGGAGUACGCCGGCAACGGUGCAACUCAAAUGAAUUGACGG